Molecule: non-coding RNA, 179 nt
Filed under: Clostridiales bacterium PH28_bin88
Lineage: Bacteria; Bacillati; Bacillota; Clostridia; Eubacteriales
Description: 6S / SsrS RNA
Rfam family: 6S / SsrS RNA
About the family: E. coli 6S RNA was the first non coding RNA to be sequenced, but its function was unknown until recently. It consists of 184 nucleotides that fold into an extended hairpin structure with a large single-stranded internal bulge.
Source: Rfam by way of RNAcentral
CACACCCUGCGAUGCGCGUGAAGGUCGCUAGUGUUGAGCCAACACCAACACAUAGGGAGCCCCAUCUCUGGUUGUAGCAUGUAUGCCCCCUCCGAGGGGAAACAUAAAGCAACAGGAAGGCACCCACCUGCGAGAGCAGGUUCAAAACUGCGGCUGUCCACGGCAUAUGUGGGGUAAAG